CUCGUAGACUCCUACGGGAGGCAGCAGUGGGGAAUAUUGCACAAUGGGGGGAAGCCCUGAUGCAGCCAUGCCGCGUGUGUGAAGAAGGCCUUCGGGUUGUAAAGCACUUUCAGCGAGGAGGAAAGGUUGACGGUUAAUACCCGUCAGCUGUGACGUUACUCGCAGAAGAAGCACCGGCUAACUCCGUGCCAGCAGCCGCGGUAAUACGGAGGGUGCGAGCGUUAAUCGGAAUUACUGGGCGUAAAGCGCAUGCAGGCGGCCAAGUCAGUCAGAUGUGAAAGCCCCCGGGCUUAACCUGGGAAUUGCAUUUGAAACUGCUUGGCUAGAGUCCUUGAGAGGGGGUAGAAUUUCAGGUGUAGCGGUGAAAUGCGUAGAGAUCUGAAGGAAUACCAGUGGCGAAGGCGGCCCCCUGGCAAGAGACUGACGCUCAGAUGCGAAAGCGUGGGGAGCAAACAGGAUUAGAUACCCUGGUAG
This 474-nucleotide ribosomal RNA is filed under the name uncultured bacterium. Its description in RNAcentral is "bacterial SSU rRNA". It matches the Rfam family "Bacterial small subunit ribosomal RNA", at positions 328 to 793 of the family's 1533-position model. The record is from RNAcentral.